This 918-nucleotide unclassified non-coding RNA is filed under the name Zea mays. Its description in RNAcentral is "misc RNA Zm00001eb328660". The record is from RNAcentral. Lineage: Eukaryota; Viridiplantae; Streptophyta; Magnoliopsida; Poales; Poaceae.
GGCAUUGGAGUCUGGGGCUGUGCUGGGAGAGAGUCAUCCAUCUUGACAGGCACCGAUACAGACAAUUGCACUGGCUGAGGGGGCUGCAGCAUGUUUGUGGCAGGGGCGGCGCCAGUGGCAGGGCUGAAUUCCAUCACUCGCCUGCGACGACGCUGCCGUGUAGAGGACGGGGACUUGGCUUCUCCGUUGGGGCUGGUGUUGGCAGGUAUCUGUGUCGCGGCGGCGGCGUCUUCGUCGUCAGAGUCAGCCGAGGGAUCCCGGCCGUGUUUGUUUGUGGGGCGCCAGAUGUUGCGCGCAAUCUCAAAGAUGGCCUGCUCGUGCGGGGAGCGGAAGGUGAAGGUGGCGCCGGAUUCGCGGAGGCGAGAGACGCAGUUGCGGUACUUGCGCUUGAGGCGGCGGAGCUUCUCGACGAGCUGGCUCUUGGUGAAGUCGAGCUGGAGGCGGCGGCGCAUGUCCUCGUAGAAGGGGUCGGUGUCGUACUGGUGCGACGCGAACGCCGUGCCGCGCGCGGCGGUGAACUCCGCGAAGCCGCGGAGGAUCACGAUCUCGUCCUCCUCGGUCCAGAGGCGCUGGAACAGGGGCCGCCGCUCCCCGCCGUUGCCAGAGGUGACCGGGCCGCCGCCGCUCCCGGCCGCAGGGAUCGCGUGGGGCAGGCCGGUGGCGGAGGAGGUGGUGGGGUUGGGGAGGCCCGGAUCGGUGGGGUCGAGGAGGUGGGCGCCGGCGAAGUCGCCGUCUUCAGAAUCGCCGCCGCCGUCCGCGUCGGGGAAGGAGAUGCCGGCGGAAGCCGGCGGGUCGUCGCCGGUGGGAGGCAUUGGAUUGGUGAUGGGAUUUGGACGGGAAUAGGGGUCUGGUUGCGGGAUUUGAGGGAGUUCAGAAUGAUCGACGAGUGUUUGGAUGGGACCCGUGUUUGGAACUUUG